AUUGAACGCUGGCGGCAGGCCUAACACAUGCAAGUCGAACGGCAGCACAGAAGAGCUUGCUCUUUGGGUGGCGAGUGGCGGGCGGGUGAGUAAUGUCUGGGAAACUGCCCGAUGGAGGGGGAUAACUACUGGAAACGGUAGCUAAUACCGCAUAACGUCGCGAGACCAAAGUGGGGGACCUUCGGGCCUCACACCAUCGGAUGUGCCCAGAUGGGAUUAGCUAGUAGGUGGGGUAAUGGCUCACCUAGGCGACGAUCCCUAGCUGGUCUGAGAGGAUGACCAGCCACACUGGAACUGAGACACGGUCCAGACUCCUACGGGAGGCAGCAGUGGGGAAUAUUGCACAAUGGGCGCAAGCCUGAUGCAGCCAUGCCGCGUGUAUGAAGAAGGCCUUCGGGUUGUAAAGUACUUUCAGCGGGGAGGAAGGCGGUGAGGUUAAUAACCUCGCCGAUUGACGUUACCCGCAGAAGGAGCACCGGCUAACUCCGUGCCAGCCGCCGCCGUAA
This 506-nucleotide ribosomal RNA is filed under the name uncultured bacterium. RNAcentral describes it as "partial 16S ribosomal RNA". It matches the Rfam family "Bacterial small subunit ribosomal RNA", at positions 29 to 523 of the family's 1533-position model. The record is from RNAcentral.